GUAGGUGAACCUGCGGAAGGAUCAUUACAGUAGUCGCCUGGGUUGCCGCAAGGCCUCCCGGGUAACCUACCACCCUUUGUUUAUUACACUUUGUUGCUUUGGCAGACCUGCCCUCGGGCUGCUGGCUCCGGCCGGCGAGCGCUUACCAAAAAACCUAAACUCUAUUUGUCUAUACUGUCUGAGUACUAUAUAAUAGUUAAAACUUUCAACAACGGAUCUCUUGGUUCUG
Molecule: unclassified non-coding RNA, 229 nt
Filed under: rhizosphere metagenome
Description: partial ribosomal RNA internal transcribed spacer region
Source: RNAcentral